RNAcentral lists this ribosomal RNA (647 nucleotides) under Bacillus sp. AS2.17. RNAcentral's name for it is "bacterial SSU rRNA". It matches the Rfam family "Bacterial small subunit ribosomal RNA", at positions 1 to 637 of the family's 1533-position model. Lineage: Bacteria; Bacillati; Bacillota; Bacilli; Caryophanales; Bacillaceae. The record is from RNAcentral.
UAGAGUUUGAUCCUGGCUCAGGACGAACGCUGGCGGCGUGCCUAAUACAUGCAAGUCGAGCGAAUCGAUGGGAGCUUGCUCCCUGAGAUUAGCGGCGGACGGGUGAGUAACACGUGGGCAACCUGCCUAUAAGACUGGGAUAACUUCGGGAAACCGGAGCUAAUACCGGAUACGUUCUUUUCUCGCAUGAGAGAAGAUGGAAAGACGGUUUACGCUGUCACUUAUAGAUGGGCCCGCGGCGCAUUAGCUAGUUGGUGAGGUAAUGGCUCACCAAGGCGACGAUGCGUAGCCGCCCUGAGAGGGUGAUCGGCCACACUGGGACUGAGACACGGCCCAGACUCCUACGGGAGGCAGCAGUAGGGAAUCUUCCGCAAUGGACGAAAGUCUGACGGAGCAACGCCGCGUGAACGAAGAAGGCCUUCGGGUCGUAAAGUUCUGUUGUUAGGGAAGAACAAGUACCAGAGUAACUGCUGGUACCUUGACGGUACCUAACCAGAAAGCCACGGCUAACUACGUGCCAGCAGCCGCGGUAAUACGUAGGUGGCAAGCGUUGUCCGGAAUUAUUGGGCGUAAAGCGCGCGCAGGUGGUUCCUUAAGUCUGAUGUGAAAGCCCACGGCUCAACCGUGGAGGGUCAUUGGAAACUGGG